RNAcentral lists this small nuclear RNA (95 nucleotides) under Phascolarctos cinereus (koala). The record is from RNAcentral. Lineage: Eukaryota; Metazoa; Chordata; Mammalia; Diprotodontia; Phascolarctidae.
GUGUGAUGGCAGCACAUAUACUAAAAUUGGAACGAUGCAAAGAUUAAUAUGGCCGCUGUCAGUUCGUGUAAAUUCGUGAAGCGUUCCAUAUUUUU